UCACGUACUAGUGAAUCAUCGAAUCUUUGAAUGCAUAUUGCACCCGUUGAGCCCAUCUUAACGGGUCUGCCUGGCUGAGUGGAGCCAACAAAGUGUGAUGGGGAAGAAGAAGAACGAAAGAGAGUAAAGCUUCUUUCUCUCUCUCUCUAUCAAUCAACUACUCUAUUACACUCUCGGACCAGCUUUUAUCAAAAACUGGACCGGAUAUUGAGUUGUCCCAGAGGACUGUAGUAGUACUCAUACCUUGUAUAGUAGUACUUAGCUUUCUUUCCAUUGGGUCACUAUAAAGUUAGACACAGCUAAAAGCUUUAGUUGAAAAUGUUCAUCUUUGUCUUCUAUUUGUAUGUAUCUCUUUAUGAAUACUACAAAACAGCUGUUCUUAUUGCGCAUAUAAGGUAACUACACUUGGUGUGUACCUCUUCUCCCUCUCCCUCAGAUUAGGCAGGACGACCCGCUGAACUUAAGCAUAUCAAUAAGCGGAGG
Molecule: ribosomal RNA, 483 nt
Filed under: uncultured Chlamydomonadales
Lineage: Eukaryota; Viridiplantae; Chlorophyta; Chlorophyceae; Chlamydomonadales
Description: eukaryotic LSU rRNA
Source: RNAcentral